UCCAUUUUUGUGAGGCUCCAUGGAGAAAGAUUAGAUCCCUAAUCUGACCAGGCAACAGUGAGCCCACAGCAAACCAGUGUCCCCCUUCCCUUGGGUCCAUGGCCCCUCCCCCACCCAAAACCCUGCUGGGUGCUUUGUGUUGCCGGCUUGCAGAGCAUAUGCUUGGCUGCUUGCUUUGUGUCUGCUGUUUAUCCCUCUCUUCCUACUUAACUUCUGUUUCUGCUUGGCCCAUCUGGCUCCUGUGGUACCUGCUUUUCACUCCCGUUGCGCUUCCCCUCCAAUGCGGCCUGCCCCCUAUUUACCACUUCCCUCCCAGGGCUUGGCUCUUGUCCACUCUGGGGCUGCUGGCAGGAGCUCUUGACCUGGAGUGUAGGAGCAGUGAGGGACUCCUCCAGCCUAUGGGACUGCCCAGAGGCACAGCUGGGGACCCUGACCUCGGGGUCACUGCGGUGUUCUGGAGACGCCCUUAGGGUGGGAAGUUGAGGCGGGUGGUGGAGGGCAGGUUGGGAGUGGCCUUUGGACUGGGGAGAGGGCUAGGUUCUGGUAGAAACCCUCCCCCGCCAUCUCCCCAGGUCCUUCUGAGCUUCCUUCCUACCAGAGGUGAUUCUUGGGGUCGGGUGGGGGUCACCCAAAUCAGAGUCUUGUAGAUACUGCUCUCUGUUCACGGCAGUGAUGGGAAAGUGACCUGUGAGUAGCAGCAGGAGAGGAUGAGGCCAGGGAAGGCCUGCAGUUCUGACCCAGAACCCCAGGGCACACAAGCUCCUUCCUGCUGAGAAGGGGCUGUGGCAGUCUGAUGGCUUGGGCAAAAGAGAAAAUGGUGGCAGCCUGAAGCUGCAGGAUGCUCACAGUGGGCUCAGAGGGGAGACAGAAAGGCCCUCUCCUUCACUAGCAGUGCUCUGCUGGGGGUCAGUCUCACCCCACACAUCACACUAGGCUCCACACUGCCUGAGUCAUUGCUCUGCCUCCUCCGCCCCCUCACCAGAUUGCACACUUGUGCAUACUUGCACACCCAGGUCAUGGCUCACACUCACCCCUCCAAUGUAGCCUGCUUCGUUCCUGGUGUGAUGUGGCAGCUCAUGGCUUCCUUGGGACUUGUGAGGGGGUGGUGGAGCCUGGAAGAGAAUGGAGGAGAAGAAAUGGGGCCCGACAGGGGCAGGGCUGUCAUUCAUCUGCCUCUCUGGACCUGGGUUGCUCCUCCAGGCUAAGGCUGGCUGCCGAGGAGGCAGAGCUGGGCCUGGAGUCAACAAGGAUCCACGUGCUUGGGGACCAUCGGCUGCUGCUCCCUGUAAGCAUCUGCUUCCCACGGAAACCUACAGGGCUUGGCUGCCAGGCCUCACUGCGUGCCCACUCCUCUGUGGCUCUGUUCUCUGUCUCGGUUGUUCCAUCUGCCCGCUCCACCAGCUCCUGGCACAGCUCUCUUGGCCUCGUUAUUUCUCUCCCAGAACCUUCUUCCUGCUCCUCAUUUCUUCCUGUCCUUUCUCCCUGUCUUUAUCCAGCCACAUUCAUGCCACUGUCCCUGAGGUCUUCCUCUUUUGUCUUUAUCCAUCAUUUUUCCUCUUGCUUUUCUGCUGUUUUUCUCCAUAUUCAUAUUCUCUGUCUCAUACAUAUUCAGUGGCUCCUUGAAAAUCCACCUAGAUUAUUCAAUGUGCUAGAAGCCUAGAUCUGCUUCAGGAAUAAAACUUCUUAGACUCUAACGCUAGGUCUCUGUCUCAGACACUAGUCUGGACUAAUUGCCUAGAACAUGUUGGUAGACCCACCUACCCUUCCACCCAAGUAUGCUCACUCUUUGCAAUGCCUCCUCUUCUGAUCUGGGACAAGGCAGCUGUGAGGUGUGCAGAAGCCAGACAGAUAAGCCACAGCACCUCGGUCAAGUGACACGGCAGGGGGUGCGGAGAGUCUGGGGCAAGAGUCUCCCUUUAAAGGGAUUUGAGGAGUUCAGUCCUGGAAAGAAACUUAGGACCCAACGUGUCCGAUCCUUGUGCUUGUACAAUCCUUUUACGUCCGCUCUGUUAUCCCCUUAUACCUCUCAUGGGAGGUUCAUAAAUAAGGAAACUACUGUCUUCGGACUAGAAGUUACUCCGCUGGCGCUCCCCAGCACCUGAGGAACAGAGCUGGAGUCAGAUUCUCCGCUUUGGGAUUUGCAGCCCUUGCCUGUGGCAGGUGAAUGAACAGAAGGAACUGGAAAAUGGCAGUUACAGGACAAGGAGAUGCGAGAGCUUCCCGAGGAAGCGGAGAUGAGGGAGCAGCGUUUGGAGAGGGCACAGUCUGCAGCGGGCCAGCUCGAGGACUGAGGCCCUGUCUCUGAGCUUCCCUGAUGACCCCUCCUUUGCACUCAGUCUUGCUUGGCACACCCACCUCUCUUUGCGUUUGAAGCUUCUGAGAACAAAGAAGACCAGGCAAUCUCUUCAAGAUGCCCCCCUGACUGUUUUGGCAGUGGAGUGGCCAGUGAUUCCUGCUGGGGGUCCUCUUCCUAUGGGAGCUUCCUGGGAGUCACCACCGGAAAACUAGAGCCCUGGGUCACAGAUGAGAUCCCUCUGCUUUCACACACAUGUUUUAAAAACAACGAUGCAAAGUGAUCAUCACAAUAGAUCCUGGGGUUCAGAGGAAAUUGAACUGCUGCUCUAAAACCUCGUGCUACAGGAUGCCUGGUGGUGGGGAGCACUUUUGGCCAUAAGAACCCUUAAGCCGAAAGCCCCAGACUGAGGCACGUGUUGUUUUGAGAGGUGAACAGGUCACCCCUGCAUGGUCUUAGGUCCCUCUGCUACCUGCUGGCACAUCAAUCAGAGAUGAGAUUUGCAGGCAGAGAGGUGCAAGUUCAAGUUUCAGCUUCACUACUUGAUUUGGGCAAGUGGUUUGACCUCUCUAAGCCUCAAUUUCCUAAUCUGUAAAAAGAGGACAAUACUUCACUCAGAAGGCUGCUUCAAAGAUUCACUUGAGAUAGGCACACCAUUUAAUCACCACCCAAUAAAUGGUAACAAGGAUGGUGCCUUUAGAUGAUGAUAAUGUUAAAUAGUACCUACAACUACACCAGUGAAUUGGUGGUCUUGACACUGUGGCAAGACUUUAACCAGCUUCAUUAACCUCUGACCUCAUCUGUCCCUUAGCCUCAUUUAAAUUAGACCCAGUGACCAGCAAUUCUCAAUCUCCAUCUCCAUCAGUCUCCAUCAGCCUGAGCUUCCACAGUCACAGCAUCUUCUGAAUGGUUCUACUGGAAGUGACCAGAUCCCACCUGGCUGCUGGCUCAUCUGAAACACAGCCAGUAGGUCUCCUUCCUAGGAUGAUUUCUUGGGCAAGGAGUUGAGAGCAGGAGGAGGGGCUGAGGUCCCUGGAAGAAGGAUGGGCCACUCUGUUUUGGGGCUGCUUCCUGAGAAGUUGGGCCCUCUGCUUGGGAGUUGGCUCAGACCUACGCCUGGCCUCUCAGCCUCCCAGGGAGCCUGCUCCAUGCAGGACAUGUGACCAGCCCUUUGCACUUUGUGCCCCUUGCCCACUCACAGCCAACCCUUUCACACCUCAAUUAGCCACUUAGGGAAAAGAAAGAGCGAGAGCAAGCUGGGGAAAUCUGUCCAGACCAUGAUGAAUACUUUCCCAAGCCUGCUGUUGCCAUGGCAGCCAGCUGGGAACACCGUUUCUAGGGCCUGAGGCGCUCAGACAUGCAUGGGGGGGCUGCCCUGCUGGGCUGCUGCCCACUUGCCUUCCCCCACCCUGGCCUCCUGGCUCCCUUAGCAACAGCCAUCACUAUUGCCAUCGCAACCACCACUGCAGCUCUGCACUGGCCGUGAGCAGUGUCCACGGAGCUCCAGGGGGAAGGUCUGCCUGAUCCUAAAGCUCAUGUUCCACACGGAGGAGGUUUUCAAAGGUGUUUCCCAAUCCCAAUGCUGGGGCUGGAUGUGGUGGAGCAGAAGCAGACGAGCCCUGAACUUGGUGCUGCCCCUCACCGAGUGUGGAGAAAUAAGAAAACCUGACAGGCGGAACCAGGCUUUGAUCAUGCAUUGUUGUCACAACGGAAUGGAUGCGUGACACGAAGAUGCCAAAAAAAUAAAAGGAAGAAAAUUUGACUAGGAAGAAGCACGAGGAUUAGAUUUUGCAUGGUGGCCAGAAUGCAAAGACGGGGCGAUUGACAUGAGAUGCAAAUGCACAAAAUUAGGAUGUCAUUUCUUUAACCUCAUGGACACGUAAGUCAGAGACCAUAACAUUCCCAGAUGGAGCUCCACAGCUCCGCAAGUGCCCCAGAGCUCUUGUGAUCCACAGCUGAGGGUGGCCCACCCAAGGGAGUUCAGAUUCUGCCAGAGCUCACCCUGCGAUGCUCUUUCACCAUUCCAUGUUUCGUUUGUUCCCUCCUGCCCUAAUACGGCCCC
RNAcentral lists this long non-coding RNA (4355 nucleotides) under Equus caballus (horse). Its description in RNAcentral is "lncRNA (ENSECAG00000053646.1)". The record is from RNAcentral. Lineage: Eukaryota; Metazoa; Chordata; Mammalia; Perissodactyla; Equidae.